This is a long non-coding RNA of Piliocolobus tephrosceles (Ugandan red Colobus), 1835 nucleotides long. The record is from Ensembl. Lineage: Eukaryota; Metazoa; Chordata; Mammalia; Primates; Cercopithecidae.
AAUUUGGAAUAAUGAAGAUACAGAUAUAUGUUUUGACAUAACAAAAAUAAUACUAGAUGAAACACAGGAUUUAUCAAAUCUAGACUUAACUAAAUGUAACAUAACUAACUUAGAAAUAUGCUCACGAUAUAAUACAAUUUUUUUGAAUUUUUUUUUAUUAAGCUUAUUAAGUUCAAAUGAUUUAUGCUUCAAAUUAAUAAAACAUAAAAAAAUUUUAUUUUUAUAUAAACAAGUGAAAAGAUUAAAUUGGCAUAGUAUUAAUUUUGCUUUUAUUAAAAUAAUUUAUAAAGGAGUAAAGUAUGCAUAUAUAUAUAAUUUGGAUAUAAAAAAUGAAAUAAAAGAUAUGUUAAAUAUUCUUUUUUUUUUUUUAUUUAUGUUUUAUAUUAAAUUACCAAAUAAUGUACAAAUGAAUUCCUCAAAAUAUUUUAUACCAGAACAAUAUAUGUUACUAAUUAAUGAUGAUGAUAGUGUAAUAAAAAAUUUGUCAAAAAUAUUUGUUUUUUUAUUUAAUAAAAAAUAUCAAAACGAACAAGGAAAGGAAAAGGACAAUUUGGAAAAAAAUAAAGAAAAGGAAAUAAAAUUAGUAAAAGCAUUUUUUUCUUAUCUUAAUGAAAAUAAUUUUAGUAUAAACAAUUCGCACAACAUUGGAAUGGGUGAAGUGGGUGAAAGUGCAAUGGUGGAGAAGAGAGAUAUUGCAGAACACUAUUCCAUAUUAGAAAAAAAUAAUUUGUUUCGCCUUUUUGAUAAUUUAGAUAUACAUGGUUUUUUAAAUAUUAUAACAUCUUUAUUUAUUCCACAUAUACAUCCUUCCAAUAUGGGAAAACAUGUAGGAAACAUUAAUUUGUUUAUAAACUCUUUUUUGUAUUGUUUUAUUAGGAAGUUAAAAAGGGAAGACAUUUAUUUACGAAGGUUACAUACAAACUCAACUAAUAACAAAUAUAACGAUAUAAAUGAUAAAAAUAGUGAUGUUUUUUCAUAUAUAAACAACUAUUUUAUUUUCAAAGAAGAUAAACAGUUCGUAGUAAAUAAAUUUACUAAAUUAGCUGUACAGGGAAUGUAUCCUAAAAACAAUAAAGGAACUAGUUUGUUUGAAAAUAUUUUAAAACAUAUAUGUAUACUUGAUAUAAAUAGUUUGGAUAUAUUUACCAAAAAAAUAAUUGAAUGUUUGGUAAAUGUAAACAUAUCAACACAAAUUUGUAAUGGUUUGUUAUCUUUAUGUUUAUUAUUACCAUUGUUAAUUAAAUAUAAAUCUGUUUAUUUAAAAGAUAUUUUAAGUGUAAUAGUAGUAGGUAUAGAUAUAAGUGAUAUAUAUAAAAGUUUUACAAUAUUUUCUUUUUUAAGUAUAUUAUUUUCUUACAUACCAAUUGUGCAAAUUGAUUCGAGUUGUAUCACAAAUGAAGAUUAUAAAUUACUUAUUGAAGAAUAUAAAAAAAUUGAAAAAUUUGAAAAAGAUUAUGGUGUGGUUGUAGAAGUAGGGAUGUUGAACUCGAAUUGUUUUGUAAAAUCGACAGAAAAGAGUAGUAGUAAUAGUAGUAGUAGUAGUAGUAGUAGUAGUAACAAUAAUGGUGUUGAUGGUGGUGGUGGAAAGAUUGUGGAAAAUGACUUAUACAAUAUUGUCACACAUUCUAGAGAACAUAUAACAAGUGAUGAACAAAUAAAAUGUUUAAUUAAAGAAAGAGAAGAGUUACUUAAUUAUUUAUGCUAUUGGGUUCAUGAUUUUUUUGAUAAAAUUUUAUAUUUUAUAAAGUUUACUAAAAAUGAGAAAAAUAAAGAUAAUAAAAAAAAAACAAAAUGGUGAAAAAAAAGAAAAUAAAUUAGAAAAUGAUGUAUAUACA